RNAcentral lists this ribosomal RNA (508 nucleotides) under uncultured Glomus. RNAcentral describes it as "SSU rRNA". It matches the Rfam family "Eukaryotic small subunit ribosomal RNA", at positions 569 to 1082 of the family's 1831-position model. The record is from RNAcentral. Lineage: Eukaryota; Fungi; Glomeromycota; Glomeromycetes; Glomerales; Glomeraceae.
AGCAGCCGCGGUAAUUCCAGCUCCAAUAGCGUAUAUUAAAGUUGUUGCAGUUAAAAAGCUCGUAGUUGAACUUCGGGAUCAAUUAGUUGGUCAUGCCUUGGUAUGUACUGAUUUUAUUGGUUCUCACCUUCUAAAGAACUAUAAUGUCAUUUAUUUGAUGUUAUAGGGAAUUAGGACUGUUACCUUGAAAAAAUUAGAGUGUUUAAAGCAGGCUCACGCUUGAAUACAUUAGCAUGGAAUAAUGAAAUAGGACAUCGCAUUCUAUUUUGUUGGUUUCUAGGAUCGAUGUAAUGAUUAAUAGGGAUAGUUGGGGGCAUUAGUAUUCAAUUGUCAGAGGUGAAAUUCUUGGAUUUAUUGAAGACUAACUACUGCGAAAGCAUUUGCCAAGGAUGUUUUCAUUAAUCAAGAACGAAAGUUAGGGGAUCGAAGACGAUCAGAUACCGUCGUAGUCUUAACCAUAAACUAUGCCGACUAGGGAUCGGAUGAUGUUGAUUUUUUAAUGUACCCU